Molecule: long non-coding RNA, 4752 nt
Filed under: Salmo trutta (river trout)
Lineage: Eukaryota; Metazoa; Chordata; Actinopteri; Salmoniformes; Salmonidae
Description: lncRNA (ENSSTUG00000017047.1)
Source: RNAcentral
UUUGUCACUGCACACAAUACGGGUCUGGGCUGUCAUCUGUAUAGUACAGAACGCUAUCUUAGUUGUUUAUUAAUGUACCAGCAAUGACAGUGAAAGUCGACUAAUCAUCAACAGCAUGUAUUGCUAUGUUUGAGGCAACAAUUAAAAUACAUUACCAUUCUAUUAUGUGUAAAAAUAAAAUUAAUGACUGAAAUAUAUUUUUAUAUAUAUAUUUUUUCUUCAUAUUUCAGAAUGCAAGGAUAGGAACUGUGAAAGGACAGGGAAGACAGUGGUGAAGUCCAGAGUUAGGGAGGUUAGUUAGAACGGAAUCUAAGGGAAGAACAGGGAAGACAGUGGUGGAGUCCAGAGUUAGGGAGGUUAGUUAGAACGGAAUCUAAGGGAAGAACAGGGAAGACAGUGGUGAAGUCCAGAGUUAGGGAGGUUAGUUAGAACGGAAUCUAAGGGAAGAACAGGGAAGACAGUGGUGAAGUCCAGAGUUAGGGAGGUUAGUUAGAACGGAAUCUAAGGGAAGAACAGUGGAGACAGUGGUGAAGUCCAGAGUUAGGGAGGUUAGUUAGAACGGAAUCUAAGGGAAGAACAGGGAAGACAGUGGUGAAGUCCAGAGUUAGGGAGGUUAGUUAGAACGGAAUCUAAGGGAAGAACAGGGAAGACAGUGGUGAAGUCCAGAGUUAGGGAGGUUAGUUAGAACGGAAUCUAAGGGAAGAACAGGGAAGUAAAGAACUGUUGUGACAUUGAUGUUAUACAAUAAACAGGGGAAAUUGUUUGAUUUUCUGUUAACAGUAACAAUAUAUCACCUCUUUGACCUGCGCCUAGUUAUUUUCAAGGAAGUACAGUCAGUAUAGUCAAUAACAUCAUCAAUUGAGUACAUUUCUGAAUUUAGUAAAAGGUGUUGAAAAUUACACAAAACCACAAAGCAAGUGAUUACAAAUACUUAAAAAAAAAAUCUGUUCAUAAAAGGGCAGAGAGAAGAUUUAAUCAGAUGGACGCCAUGCUCCUGGUAGUUGGACCAAGGUGCGCCGACAUUUUCUGCCACUGCAAUGAAACCAACAACAACAACAAAAUGAACAAACCACAUCAUCUCCUAAAGCACUCCUUUUCCUAUACCUGUGAAGGAGCUCUCUCAUUCUCUCUCUAUCUACUCCCCCACUUAUCUCCAUAUAAUAAAUCCUCUUCAGUUUCCAAGUUGUGUCUGCUUUAUGAAGACAUUGUUAAGAAUUAUCCUAUAUUAUUGUUUAAUGGCAUAAACUUCUACAUGUACUAUGACAGAUCUACAAGUUGUACAAUGAAUCAGAAAAGCUGCAGAUUCAGCAGUUGGUGGAGCCAGGAGAACACAAUGGUAGAUGGCAUACAUUGUAGCCUGUCGAUAUGGAAUGGGACCAGGGAGGACAACACGGUGUUCCUCCAUGACGCUACAAUUGUAACCUACUCAAUUAAUAUUGGUUUAUCAAUAUUAUUACAUGUGUAGGCCUAAUAUCAAAGUUAGUCUGCAAUCAGGGUUUGGCCUAGUAGAAUGUAUUUACAUUUUUUUAUUAACCUUUAAUUAAACAGGGAUUCACAUUAAGAUAAAACUAUUUUACAAGAGCCCUGUAUACAUUAAAAAAUAAAACCCAGUACAUAAAUAAAACACAACAGUCUAAUAUACUGUUCAAAAGUUUGGGGUCACUUAGAAAUGUCCUUGUUUUGAAAGAAAAUCACUUUUUUUGUCCAUUAAAAUAACAUAAAAUUGAUCAGAAUUACAGUGUAGAUAUUGUUAAUGUUGUAAAUGACUAUUGUAGCUGGAAACAGCUGAUAAAACAAGAAGGAUUAUCUACAUAGGCGUACAGAGGCCCAUUAUCGGCAACCAUCACUCCUGUGUUCCAAUGGCACGUUGUGUUAGCUAAUCCAAGUUUAUCAUUUUAAAAAGCAAAUUGAUCGUUAGAAAACCCUCGUUAGAAAACUGUUGUUCUAAUUAAAGAAGCAAUAAAACUGACCUUUAGACUAGUUCAGUAUCUGGAGCAUCAGCAUUUGUGGGUUCGAUUACAGGAUCAAAAUGGCCAGAAACAAAGAACUUUCUUCUGAACUUUCUUCGUCAGUCUAUUCUUGUUCUGAGAAAUGAAUGCGAUUCCAUGUGAGAAAUUGCCAAGAAACUGAAGAGCUCGUACAACGCUGUGUACUACUCCCUUCACAGAACAGCGCAGACUGGCUCUAACCAGAAUAGAAAGAUGAGUGGGAGGCCCCGGUGCACAACUGAGCAAGAGGACAAGUACAUUAGAGUGUCUCUAGUUUGAGAAACAGACGCCUCACAAGUCCUCAACUGGCAGCUUCAUUAAAUAGUACCCGCAAAACACCAGUCUCAACGUCAAUAGUGAAGAGGCGACUCCGGGAUGUUGGCCUUCCAAGCAGAGUUCCUCCCUCCAGUGUCUGUGUUCUUUUGCCCAUCUUAAUCUUUUCUUUUUAUUGGCCAGUCUGAGAUAUGGCUUUUUCUUUGCAACUCUGCCUAGAAGGCCAGCAGAUACACAACAUUAAACAUAUUUAAGAAAAGCAAUCGCAUUCUGUAACAUAAGUCUCCAAUCAAUAAUUUUAAAUGCCUGAAAGGCACCCGAAUAUCUAACUGCAAGGAAUGCUGUGUAUCGUUCCACACAUAAGGGGCAAAAAACCAAAAUGCAGAUUUUCCCAAUUCUGUGGAGACCAAAUGGAUCUCCAGAGUUAUAUUAAGAUAUUAAGAUUUGGUUCAGUAACAUGAACAAUUCCUAGGUCAACAAACUAAUACAAUCAGUGGAAGCUGCUGAGGGGAGGACAGCUCAUAAUAAUGGCUGUAACGGAGCGAAUGUAAUGGCAUCAAACACAUGGAAACUAUGUGAUUGAUGUAUUUGAAACCGUUCUACUCAUUCUGCUCCAGCCAUUACCACGAGCCCGUCCUCCCCAAUUAAGGUGCCACCAACGUCCUGUGGCUAUAAUAUGUAUAGGCCGUACAUUCAUUAGCUGGCAAUAAAAGUAAUACUUAAUCGGUAUGUUCCUGGUCAAUUUUUAAGUGUUGUUAUAUUAUGAUUGUACCGCUGAGUGCCGUUCUGUAACGUUGAGCCCUCCCUUAUAAAAAAAGAUUGCAGUAACUGCAGUCGACUGGUAUUUUGGAUGCAGUAAUUGCAGUAUACUGCACUCUAGCGGCAGUUACACUGCAAAAUUACUGCAUUAAGUAAAACUGUUAUUUUGGAUGCAGUAUUUUCAGUAUAAUGCAGUUAUAAUGCACUCUAACUGCAGUUAUACUGCAAUCUUUUUUUCCUAAGGGCUGCUGAACAGGUCCUGUAUUUUUGACAACAGCGAAUUUUUCUAGCAAAGGUCGCAAUUGCUUGUAUUAUUAUUAUACUUACAAGAAAUAAAUUGUACAUUUUACAGGUUAUGAUCAUAACAACUAAGUCUCUGAAAUAUAAAGAGGGAGAACAUUAAACAUGCAGGUUUGGGUCUUUUUAUUUAUUUAUUAUACAUUUUUUUUACAUUGUAAUAAACUUAGUGAAAUCUUAACGGAAUAUAUUUACAAAAUAAUACAUAUAGGAGCAGUCAGCAUUGUACAUCAGGACGAACAACUACAUUUGUUUUGACUACUAGUCUAUUUUUUUAUGAUGGACAUUUUUUGAUGUAGAAAAACCAGUAUACAAAGAAGCAUACAAAUAGAUAAUGAUAACAUAUGCAAGGGGGUACAACAAAUGACAUAUUAUACAAAAACCUUAAAAGAAACACACAUUGAUUGUUUUAACAGCUUUCUUAUAAGAAGAAUGUUGAAUGGUCUUAAUGUACUGCUCGAAUUCCUUAUACGGAAGAGGGUUUUUUAUUAGUGAAUUUACAUUUAUGAAUAUGACAUUUUGCCAUUUGCACAAUUAGAUUUAUGAGGUAAAAUUGUUUUUCUUUAUCCUUAUUUUAAGGAAACCCGAGCAGCACAUUCUCCCAUAAAAAAAAAGUAAUCGAGAAUAUUAACAAUUAUAAAACUGUGAAUAUCUUUCCAUAAUCUUUUUUACAUGUAGACAAUGCCAAAAUAAAUGCAAAACUGUUUCUGGAUGCUCAACACAAAAAGUACAGUCAAUGUUAAUGUCUUUUUUAAGUUUAAUCAGGUAAUGAUUCGCAGGGCAAUACUUAUGGAUCAUUCUGAAAGAGACCUCUUUGACCUUGUUAACAAGCAGGUAUUUGUGUGGUAAUAACCCUACUUUUUUCCAACAGAUAUUAGUGACCAAUGUAUUCCAGUAAGUUGUGACAUAAGGAAUGGAUACAAUAUCCCUUUGAAAAAAGCACGUAUAGAUCUGUUGUUCUGAGGGAGCAAGGAGAAACAUAUUUUUCCUAUUGAUGAGUCAACUGGAUUAAGCGAGGGUAGGUCAAGAAGGUGAGGUCUGGCUAAUCCUCUAAACAACAUGAGAGUUCCAGAUGGAAUAGCAUCAAAGACUAUGGCAAACUCUCUAGGUGUAACAGGGAUAUUGUAAUGAGAUAAAAAUUCCUCAUAAUUGAGUAACAAUCCUUCUGCAUUAAAAAGUUGACUCACCAGCAGGAUAUGAUUAUUAAACCAUUUCUUAAAAAAUAAAGACUUGUUUCUAUACAACAUAUCCUUAUUGUUCCAAAUGAAAUACCUAUGCGGGGGGAAAGUAUGUUUAUAUAUUAACGACCACGCUAAGAAUACUUGUCUUUGAAAAGCAGAUCAUUUUGUAGGAAUCUUAUCAUAGUUACAAAGUAACAUAAAAUUGAGGCCACCAAAAUGGGAGAAGAUAUGAGGGCUGAGAUUCCAAAUUGAAG